This 66-nucleotide transfer RNA is filed under the name Malaccina sinica. RNAcentral's name for it is "tRNA-Asn". The record is from RNAcentral. Lineage: Eukaryota; Metazoa; Arthropoda; Insecta; Blattodea; Blattellidae.
UUGAUUGAAACCAAAUAGAGGUAUAUUACUGUUAAUAAUAAAAUUGAAUAUUAUAUUCCAAUCAAG